This 208-nucleotide unclassified non-coding RNA is filed under the name Hevea brasiliensis (rubber tree). Lineage: Eukaryota; Viridiplantae; Streptophyta; Magnoliopsida; Malpighiales; Euphorbiaceae. The record is from RNAcentral.
GCGAUUCAUACCUGGCAAAAUGCGUGAAAUGCACGCAUUCUGCGCGAGUGAGGGAUAAUUUUCGAGGCCUACAACAGUUAAAAAAUGUUGAAAUGACAAUUCUACUCUUAAUGAAUCUUUUUUUAUAUUAACUAAAAUUAAUUUUAAUUUUUUUUAGUUUCAAAAUGACGUGUAAGAUAUUUAAAAAAAAAGACGUGUAAAAUGUUUA